GUCUACUUUUUUUAAUUUAACACAUGUAAACCACAGCAGAAAUGUCACAUACAGUACAGGUAAUAAAUAACCCACUAUAAGUUAAAAGAAUUAACAUAUGCUUUUUGUUUUCGCAAGCUUUGGAGAUGUAACAUAAAGUCCCUUUUUUUAAUAAUAGGUCACCUAUAGCUUUGCCAUGAGGCGGUGUUCAAAAUGACAUCAAUGUUUUUAAAGUGCACUGCGAAGGGAACACAAUUGUAAACAUGAAGAUCGCUAAAACUGAAUUGUAAAAAUAGUUUGAAAGCAAAUUACACCUAGAGAUGAUCUUUAAUGCUUUUUUUAAUUUUCAAUAAUUCCAACUUUGAAUGUUAGAAUGUUCUAAAUGAAUAGAACAUAUGGGGGAUAAGUGGCAAUAGCACACAGCCAGGAACUCCUCUGCGCGAGUCAGCGGACUUGCGCGUGCUCAUCAUUUGAAAUAAAUAACGGACACAAAGCAACGGGCGGAACGGUAAUCUGAAGGUAAGUACGUUAUAUUCGACGUUUCACAUGUUUCAUUAGUCGUUUUACUUAUAAUUUAUGUUAAAUGGAACUUUAGAUGUGUAACGUUUUACAUUUUUAUUAUUUUUAAUGAACACUUAAUCACUUUAUACGUUUUUAUGUCGCCCUGUAUAGUGACGAGGUCAUUGACAGCAGCUAAUCUAUGAAGUGAUGAACUCCUCGCCAGAGACGCUCCACAGCCUUGAAUGGGGAAGCUUUGCCAUUUCUUUCGCUGGAAUCUUCAAUUGAAAACAUCAAGAUCAUUAACCUGUGUCAGCCUGGACAGACUUCUGUUUCAGUUCUGACUGCACCACACUAAUCUCUCUGCUUAUGUGGAUCACUGACUACUAUGUUCUCUGAAGCGGAUGCCCUUCCAGCCUCAACCCAUCUCUGGGAAACAUCCACACACACUCAUUCACUACAGACAAUUUUAGCCUACCCAAUUCACCUGUACCGCAUGUCUUUGGACAGUGGGGAAACCCGGAGCACCUGGAGGAAACCCAUGUAAACACAGGGAGAACAUGCACAGAGACGCCAACUGACCCAGCCAAGGCUCGAACCAGCGACAUUCUUGCUGUGAGGUGACAGCACUACCUACUGCGCCACUGCGUCGCAGACUCUGAAGUUGCAGCCAAAAUGUGCGACACAACAGCCACAUCAUUUACAGGGCCGUGAGAGACCACCUGUAUGGUCUGCCGGUGGCAGACGCAGAGCUGAAAACACUAAUCUGAUGCUUUUUUGUAGUUGUUGUUGUUGUGUUAAUGUUAAUUUGACCAAUGCAUGCUUUGUCAUUACUUUUGUCUGCUGUACUAUUUUGAGAGCAAACAUUAGCCUAAUAAAUAUUUUUUAACAAAA
Molecule: long non-coding RNA, 1371 nt
Organism: Danio aesculapii
Lineage: Eukaryota; Metazoa; Chordata; Actinopteri; Cypriniformes; Danionidae
Exons: 5
Source: RefSeq, a predicted model, not a curated record